Long non-coding RNA from Octopus sinensis (East Asian common octopus), 101 nucleotides. RefSeq lists it as uncharacterized. The record is from RefSeq and is a predicted model, not a curated record. The transcript has 4 exons. Lineage: Eukaryota; Metazoa; Mollusca; Cephalopoda; Octopoda; Octopodidae.
GAGUCAAGAGAAGUGUGUACAUUUAAACAGCUAUUUAAUAAACACCACACAUGUUUCGAUACAACAUAGAUCCACAUAUACACAGGAUUUAAAUUAAGCAA